ACACACAGAUGACUUUCUACCUGGCUAUGAGUCCCGUCACAUCAAGGUUAUACACACACACAGAUGACUUUCUACCUGGCUAUGAGUCCCGUCACAUCAAGGUUAUACACACACACAGAUGACUUUCUACCUGGCUAUGAGUCCCGUCACAUCAAGGUUAUACACACACACAGAUGACUUUCUACCUGGCUAUGAGUCCCGUCACAUCAAGGUUAUACACACACACAGAUGACUU
Cherax quadricarinatus is the source of this 235-nucleotide non-coding RNA. Lineage: Eukaryota; Metazoa; Arthropoda; Malacostraca; Decapoda; Parastacidae. The record is from RefSeq and is a predicted model, not a curated record.